GGGGCCGGGACCGAGCCCGCGUCCGAUCCUAUUGCUUUGCCCCGCAGCCCGCGCGGAGCCGCUCCUGCCGGCGCCCCGCUCUCGUCGGCGUGUGCGAUGGAGCUGCCGGGCCUGGGCCAGCCCUGCUCCGCGAGCUUCUGCCGGCGGCUGGACUUUCUUCCUUUAAAAUGUGAUGCAUGUGAAGAGGUUUUCUGCAAGGAUCAUAUCGCCUAUGACCAGCACAAAUGUACCUCUGCAUACAAGAAGGAUGUGCAGGUUCCAGUAUGUCCUUUAUGUAACACCCCCAUUCCUGUGAGAAGGGGAGAAAUGCCAGAUGUUGUAGUUGGAGCACACAUGGACAGGGACUGCAAAUACAAUCCAGCUCAGCAUAAAGAGCGGAUCUUCACAAACAAGUGCUUGAAGUCAGGCUGCAAAAGGAAGGAGAUGAUGAAACUAGUUUGUGACCAGUGCCAUGGAAACUUCUGCAUAAAACAUCGGCAUCCACUGGAUCAUGACUGCAAGGGGGGAGGCCGUCCCAUCUCCAAAGCAGGGCAGAGCUACCUUCGUUGUCCUGUGCAGUAGGAUUCUAGUGCAGUUGGGUGACCAGUCUUGCAGAGAUGACAAGAAGUGGAUGGAUAAGCAAGAUCUCGCCAUAUAUCUGCACAAUAAAACGAUGUUCAGCAUGGUUCUGUUUCCUUGUAGGUAUGCGGCUAUAAUGAGAGCCUCCAAAUCCAAUGUCAAGUUCACGGGAUCAAGCACGGUGUCUAAUGGGCUUCUACAGCAUAACGGAUGCAGACAAUAAAGCAGGGGUCAUUCCUAACACCUGGAUCAAAUUUGUGCACCUACACACUUUCUACGCUGCAGACUGAAGACUAAAUUAAAUUAUUUUUGUACUUUUUAAUAUCUCUACUAUUAAACAUUUUUUCCUUUUGCAAAGAAUGGUAACUUGUAUAUAUUUUUUUUGAGUAUCUGAAGACACAGUAAAAAAGCACAAACCAUGUUCUAACUGGAGAACUAGGGAAGAAGCAAACAUCUACAUGGUGUAAAAAGAAGCUAAAGAUUGAAAAUGAUAGUUAAGAACCAUUGUACUUGCUUCUGGUGGAUUAGGACCUAACUUGCAUGGGGAGCUGAGGGAGACAUGCAACAGCAGUCCAUGCUUACAUCUACUUGGAAACAGGAUAUGGCCAUACAGCACUUCAUUUACUGAGCAGUUAAUAUUGUCCAUGUGAGGCAUGAUUUUGGGCAGGCAGUGGCCAGGAACUGGCAGGUGUUUAUUUUUUAAACUGCUUGACAUGCAAAUCUACUUGCCCCUUUUGAGAUGUUUGGUAGAGAUGCCUGUACUACAGCACAAUUAUCAUGGAAGUGAAAGUUCCAGGGACUAAAAGAUGUGAAUCUGUUUGCCUUCCUCUGGUACCCCAAAGUAAAUCUGCUGUCCUAUAGUAGGGGCAAGAAAGAAGAUGCUAUCUUUGUAAAAGGGGAGUUAAUACACCUAUCCCAUCAUUUGCUGGUGCGCAACAACAUGUAUUCCUUUUCUUUCUUCCUGUAAAGUGAGCCUAGAGAGCCGCUUGUUUGAAAGGGUGGUUACAAAACACA
Alligator sinensis (Chinese alligator) is the source of this 1572-nucleotide RNA transcript. It is a transcript of the gene named zinc finger AN1-type containing 2A, with no coding region annotated. The record is from RefSeq and is a predicted model, not a curated record. The transcript has 6 exons. Lineage: Eukaryota; Metazoa; Chordata; Crocodylia; Alligatoridae.